Molecule: ribosomal RNA, 480 nt
Filed under: uncultured bacterium
Lineage: Bacteria
Description: partial 16S ribosomal RNA
Rfam family: Bacterial small subunit ribosomal RNA
Source: RNAcentral
GACGAACGCUGGCGGUGUGCUUAACACAUGCAAGUCGAACGCUGAAGCCCUUUCGGGGGUGGAUGAGUGGCGAACGGGUGAGUAACACGUGGGUAAUCUGCCCUGCACUCUGGGAUAAGCCUUGGAAACGGGGUCUAAUACCGGAUAGGACACAUCGCCGCAUGGUGUGUGUGUGGAAAGUUCCGGCGGUGCAGGUUGAGCCCGCGGCCUAUCAGCUUGUUGGUGGGGUGAUGGCCUACCAAGGCGACGACGGGUAGCCGGCCUGAGAGGGUGACCGGCCACACUGGGACUGAGACACGGCCAGACUCCUACGGGAGGCAGCAGUGGGGAAUCUUGCGCAAUGGGCGAAAGCCUGACGCAGCAACGCCGCGUGGGGGAUGACGGCCUUCGGGUUGUAAACCUCUUUCGACCGGGACGAAGGGUGACUGACGGUACCGGUAGAAGAAGCACCGGCUAACUACGUGCCAGCCGCCGCGGUAA